UACGUAGGAUGCAAGCGUUGUCCGGAUUUAUUGGGCGUAAAGAGCUCGUAGGCGGCUCGUUGCGUCAACCGUGAAAACCCGGGGCUUAACUUCGGGCUUGCGGUUGAUACGGGCGGGCUGGAGUUCGGUAGGGGAGUCUGGAAUUCCUGGUGUAGCGGUGAAAUGCGCAGAUAUCAGGAGGAACACCGGUGGCGAAGGCGGGACUCUGGGCCGAUACUGACGCUGAGGAGCGAAAGCGUGGGGAGCGAACAGG
This 253-nucleotide ribosomal RNA is filed under the name uncultured bacterium. RNAcentral describes it as "partial 16S ribosomal RNA". It matches the Rfam family "Bacterial small subunit ribosomal RNA", at positions 524 to 776 of the family's 1533-position model. The record is from RNAcentral.